AUAACAACAAAUGUAUAUGUUAUAACAACAAAUGAAUUUGAGGGAAAAUUACACUCCAAGAAUAAUUUCCUGUUCUUUUUGACAGAACUAGAAUAUAAACAGGAAAAUAAUUUACGGUUCCGGCUGUUAAAAUUUGACUCGAGUCACGCAGGGAAAGACAUUAUCAACAGCAAGGAGAUGUGAUCACAUAAGUAGAAGAGAGGCAAGAACCAUUGCAAAAACAGAAAGGAGAAGAGAUAGAGUGAGUUGGGUUUGUCCACUAGGUGCUGGUGCAGUGGUUGACGGGGUUCCAGGGGUUGGGGUUGGGGCUUUUGCUGUAACCGGAGGUAGUGGUGGCUCAGUGACAUCAGCAUCUGUGAAAACCGGGUUCGGAGCUUCAGCUGGAGGUAAGGACCCGGGACUCACAACUUCUAAGAGGCCACCGGGUUGCACAGGGGCCAUGUAAGAUAGAGUUUCUUU
Molecule: RNA transcript, 459 nt
Organism: Brassica rapa (field mustard)
Lineage: Eukaryota; Viridiplantae; Streptophyta; Magnoliopsida; Brassicales; Brassicaceae
Source: RefSeq, a predicted model, not a curated record